GAGAGGAGACACUGUCAUAUAGUUUGUUCACUUCAUUUGGAUGCACAAUGGUAGCAGGUGGUCAACCAUCGAUUCAUCGUUUAAAACAGAUCCUGUGGCUGAUUUCUUUGAUGGAAAUAUUAGGAGGAAAAGGAGGGAAUUCGGAAGAUGUUACUACAAAUUGUCCUGCACGACCAUUUGUGGAGGGGAAAGUCAUCAACAUCACCUGCGACAUCAACCAGACCAGUAUUUCAAAUGCAGGCUGCUUCAUUCCACCUACAAAGCUUGACUUCAAAGUGGUAGUUACUGCUGUGCCAUUCAUUUUGUGUUCCCCUGAUUAUCCUCCUCCAUCUUGUGCACAAAACUUAACAGAAGGAGCAUGCUUUUGUGCACAUCAAAAUGGUGAUAUAUAUACAUAUCAGUACAAUUUCAUUGCAAAUGCUGGUUACCAAGGAGGAAAUAUAACAUGUGACAUCUGUGCAUUACCUACAACAAGUCCAACUAAGAAGACCAGUGAAAACUGUACAAAUAUCUUUAUUGAAACAACCACUGCAGCAACAACCACUAAAACAACAGCAGUAACAACAACAGUCAUCAGAUCAACAUCAGAAGGAAGCACGUCCAGUAGCCAGCCAGAGUGGUGGUGUAUUCUUCUGAUUAUUAUUAUCAUUCUAUUGAUAAUAAUAAUAAUCAUCAUCAUCAUAGUAGUUAGGCGUAAGCAUCAUCAUAAGUGGGCAAUGGCAAUAGAAGAUUGGAAUGGCUGCAAAGAAAUACUGGAGGUUAAAGAUUUCAUUACAAUUUUGGAGUAUAGAGGAUCACUCUGGAAACGAGAGACACAUAGUCAGAUUGGGUGGUUCCCUUGUGAGAAAGUAAAAUUGGAAGCUUGUUGUGCCAGCCCAGGGAAUACACACAUCCGGGAGUCUGCUUCAUAUGCAAUAAGUCAUAGACAACUAAGGCCGUUACCAGUGCCUAGCAAACUCACCUCUAUUGAGCGUAAUUCAGCUAUAGAUCUGCCUGCUCCAUCACCUGGAAGACAGCCUUUGCCUCCAAUAUCAGGAAGAUUAGAGAAAUUUUAGUGCUUACCAUUUUGCAGCUUCUCUCUAAAAUCUUUCCUGCUAUUUCUCUCAGAAAUGAAUGCCUAGUGAAUAUUUGUGAUCAAUCAUUAGAGAUAUCAAAGACGUUUAUCAGAUACGAAUAUUCAUCUGGGAAGUAAAAUGAAUGUGCAUGGCUGUGUAGCAUUGAAUAGUAUAAUCAUAUUCCAGAAUGCCUUCAGUGAAGAUAUGCAUGUUGAUAACCAUGUCAGAUCUGUAAACUUGCAGUGUUCACAACUUGCACACAACAUGAAAUGAAGGUAGUUUUAUUUUUACAUUUAUCAGAACACUCAAGAAGAAACCUUGUAUAUUUAGGUCUGGUUCAUUGGUUUAUAGGUUUUUUUUUUCAUUUGUCAUGUGACUUUUGAUCACUAAGAUUAUCAGAUACAAAUAUUCACCUAGAAAGUAAAGUGAAUAUGUAUCUGGCAUGUUUGUGUAGCAUUAAAUAAUAUAAUCAGAUUCCAGACUGCUUUCAUUGAAUAUAUACCUGUUGAUAACCACAUCUGAUCUGCAAACUUACAGUGUUCACAACUUGCCCACAGCAUGAAAUGAAGGAAAAUAUCCAAUGAGACAGCCAUUGGACUGGAGCAGAAUGUAUCAGUAAUCAAACAGGUUGAUCAAAUCGUCAGGAAUAUGUCCAGAUGAUCACAAAGCAGAAAUUACAGUAAAAUGUUGAAACACAUGACUGUUUGGCAUUGAUGUAAAGACUAUCGCAGGAAUGACUAGUAAAAAUGAAGAAAUUGUGAUGGCAUUAGCCAGAGAGGAUUAACAACAAUGAGAGAGUUGAUAUUAGCAGAGGAAAAAAGCCACAGGCAAGUAAAACACAAUUCUAAUGAUAUCAGAAAAAAAUUGUAGAUUAGUACAAUAUGUACAACAAGCACAACAAAUCCAAUCUGAAAAUGUGGAGAGCUGAUCCCCUAAUAGGCUUGUAUAAUUAUUAUUAACAAUUUUAAUUUUUGCUCAAUACUUGACAUUAGAUUGGUUUUUCUGUUUGUGGCAAUUUUUACAAAUUAACACUGACCUGGAGGUAGAUCUUUCAGUGAAUAUAUACAUGUUGAUAACCACAUCUGAUCUGCAAACUUGCAGUGUUCACAACUUGCCCACAGCAUGAAAUGAAGGUAGUUUUAUUUUUACAUUUGUGCUUUAUCUGCUUCUUACCACUUGUGAUAAAUUGCCUAUCAUUUCAGUCACACCUGUGGUGUAGAUCUGUGGUUUCCUACACCUUGUCAAGUCUCACUUUUCGUCGAUUUACUUUACAGGUUAUAUGUGAUUUCUUAUUUAUAGCCUUUUCGUUUAAGAUUUUAAGUUUGAUCCUGCUUUAGCUGUUUAUGUAAUUCAUCAGCACCGUUUUUCUUAAUAGCUUUGUUGCUGUAGAUUUUCAUUUGUGUAACAGUGUUGUAGGUGCUGGUAUAUUUUACUUUUUAUUUAACUCUUGCCCAUGAUUAGUUAAUUACUUACCAUUGUGAUUCAACGUUACUAACAAACUUCAGUGGAAGUUCUGAAGUAUUUGUUUCAGCAGCAUAAAAGAUGGAAGUCAAGAGAUCGAAAAAUACAUGUGGAUCCAUUUAUCCAGCUGUUUAUCAGCCAGAAUGAUGACGCCAUUUCCAGUACUGCCUUGUCAAAGAGACACCAAU
Molecule: RNA transcript, 2704 nt
Organism: Pomacea canaliculata
Lineage: Eukaryota; Metazoa; Mollusca; Gastropoda; Architaenioglossa; Ampullariidae
Exons: 11
Source: RefSeq, a predicted model, not a curated record